Molecule: transfer RNA, 72 nt
Filed under: Pangasianodon hypophthalmus (striped catfish)
Lineage: Eukaryota; Metazoa; Chordata; Actinopteri; Siluriformes; Pangasiidae
Description: tRNA-Glu
Rfam family: tRNA
About the family: Transfer RNA (tRNA) molecules are approximately 80 nucleotides in length.
Source: RNAcentral
UCCCUGGAGGGCUAGUGGUUAGGCCUGGGCGCUCUCACCGCCGCGGGCCGGGUUCGAUUCCUGGCUAGGGAA